RNAcentral lists this long non-coding RNA (290 nucleotides) under Struthio camelus australis. Its description in RNAcentral is "lncRNA (ENSSCUG00000014861.1)". Lineage: Eukaryota; Metazoa; Chordata; Aves; Struthioniformes; Struthionidae. The record is from RNAcentral.
AAAACAGAUCUCAUGCUACUUUCUGAUUGUAUCUGGACAAUAUCUUCUAGGAAUCAAGUUACAGCGUAGAAUCUCGGUCGAUGUGCCUAAAAGCAGCCCUUGAAGUCUGGUGAAAUAUGUGUGGGUUGACUCAAGAAGCCUUUGAAUUGAGGGAAUGUAUCAAUUUUAUAAGGCUCGGAUGGGAAAUACUAUAAAUACCAUAAGAAUGGAUAACAAGUCGUAUCGAGAAGACCAAUAUGAGGCUAGAAACCUGACCUACUAGACAGAUGUGCAUAUUUAGAGUCGAAAGA